CGCGGGUCCGCCGGAGGCAGCAGCAGAGAUAAGCUUUGUUGCUUCGCCGUCGUCCCUGUCUCUGGCUUCGGCAAUUGAAUAGAGGUGGCGGUUGCACUCGUCUCCAAAUAAGCAGGAGUCAACUCACCGUUCAUCGAACGUUCAGAGUUUUCUUUGAAGGGGAACAGCCCUCGGAGCUCCCCAGGCCGCAUUCAUGGGUUCGCCGCUGGGGGAAGAGGAGGAGGAACGGAUCCUGCUAGCGCGCGCGACGCCGCCGGAGAACUUUGAUGAAUACACAGGCGAUGGCUCAGUUGAUUUCAGAGGUCACCCUAUUUUAAAGCACAAUACAGGAAACUGGAGAGCAUGCUCAUUGAUUCUUGGGACUGAAGUGUGCGAACGCUUAGCCUACUAUGGGAUUUCCAAAAGUUUGGUCACUUAUCUUUCAACUAGACUGCAUGAAGGCAAUGUGUCUGCAGCUAGAAACUUCACAACCUGGCAAGGAACUUGUUAUCUCACACCACUUAUUGGAGCAACCUUAGCAGAUUCUUACUGGGGAAAGUAUCGGACUAUUGCUGUUUUCUCAACUAUUUACUUUCUUGGGAUGUCAGCAUUGACGCUUUCAGCAUCGGUUCCUUAUCUCCAGCCCCCUCAAUACCAAUUUGAUGAUACCGAUCCAAUUGAGCGAACAAAGAAAGGCGCUUUCUUCAAUUGGUUCUAUUUCUCCAUAAAUAUCGGUUCAUUGAUCUCUGGCACUGUUCUUAUUUGGGUACAAGAAAAAUAUGGAUAUGGUAUUGGAUUUGCAAUCCCUACCUUUUUCAUUGCCCUGGCUAUUGGAAGCUUUUUUCUAGGCUCAGAGGUAUACAGAUUUCAGAUACCUGGAGGAAGCCCUCUUACAAGAGCAUGCCAGGUAGUUGUUGCAGCCAUUUACAAGCGAAAUGUGGACUUGCCAGUUGAUAGUUCUCUUCUCUAUGAGUGUCAUGGUAAGAGAUCAGCUAUCGAGGGGAGCCGCAAACUGGAGCACAGCAGUGAAUUCAGGUACUUUUCUUGGUUAUCAUCAGGAAUCAUUUGCUGUAUAAGAUGCUUUUACCUUGCCAAAUUAAUUAGUUGCAAAACCGUUCACAUGCUGUUCCAUGUUGGUAUUAAUUAAUUAAUUUGGUGGAGUUCAGAUUGCUGUUCUGGAAGAAAUAAAAACAUAUUUUUAAAGUUCAAGAACUAAAAGAAAAUAGUUUACAAUUUAACAAAGCUGACACGGAUUUGCAAAGUAUGCUACUCUUUUGGUCUGACAUUCACAUGCUUGCAAAGCUUGUGUCUUCAGGCUUCCUGGACACAGCAAUCCCUUUUCAGAACUGUAACAGGUAAACCUUGCACAAGAUGUAAGUAGCAUAAGAUUUGCAUACCCACUGACCCGAUGCAUAUUUUUUCUCUACAGUUUCCUUGACAAAUCAGCAGUCAUUUUGCGGAGUGAAUGUGGCGAUAUUCAUAAUCCUUGGAGGCUUUGCACUGUUACACAGAUUGAAGAGCUCAAAAUAUUAAUGAGGAUGUUUCCAAUCUGGGCAACGGGCAUCGUGUUCUUCACUGUCUGCGCUCAGAAUUCAUCAAUGUUCAUAGAGCAAGGGAUGGCACUCAACAACCAAGUUGGAUCUUUCAAGAUCCCACCAGCCACCCUGUCGUCCUUGGACGUAAUCAGCAUCGUCGUUUGGGUCCCUAUCUAUGAGAGAUUCAUCGUGCCGAUAGCCAGGAGAUUGACUGGUAAGGAGAGGGGCUUCUCGGAGCUCCAGCGCAUGGGGAUCGGUCUUUUUGUGUCCACCAUCGCAGUGGCAGUCGCAGCAUUGGUCGAGAUCAAGCGCCUGGAGAGCGCAAGAUCCGAGGGCCUGGUCCAUCAGAAGGUGCCUGUUUCCAUGAGCAUUCUCUGGCAGGCGCCUCAGUACCUGCUGAUCGGGGUCGGUGAGGUGUUCACGUCCAUCGGGCAGGCUGAGUUCUUCUACAACCAGUCUCCGGAUUCCAUGAGAAGCCUGUGCUCGGCUUUCGCCCUUGUCACCGUGUCGCUUGGAAGCUAUCUUAGCUCGUUCAUACUGACCCUGGUGUCGUAUCUUACGACGCGUGGGGAGCAGAUGGGGUGGAUUCCUGACAACCUGAAUGAAGGCCACCUUGACCGCUUCUUCUGGCUCAUUGCUGGCCUCAGCUCCCUGAAUUUUCUCGCUUUUGUUUAUUUUGCACAGCAGUACAAGUGCAAGAAAGCUUCUGUACUUUGAUGUUUCCGCCUUUGCCUUGUAUUGUACAGAAAGUUGUGUGGAUAUUUCUCUCAUGAACAAGCUAACAAUGUACAGGCUACAAUGUAUAGUCUUCUGUAAUGUACAGUCUUGUAUCCUUUGAUAGUUGUAUACAUUUGUUUACUUGGAGAGUGGGAAUAGUGUGCCUUUUCCCCUUGUUAAUGAAGCUUAUAACCAUGUAGCUU
RNAcentral lists this ribosomal RNA (2434 nucleotides) under Triticum aestivum (bread wheat). RNAcentral describes it as "partial small subunit ribosomal RNA". The record is from RNAcentral. Lineage: Eukaryota; Viridiplantae; Streptophyta; Magnoliopsida; Poales; Poaceae.